UGGGGAAUAUUGCACAAUGGGCGAAAGCCUGAUGCAGCAAAGCCGCGUGAGUGAUGAAGGUCUUCGGGUUGUAAAGCUCUGUCUUCUGGGACGAUAAUGACGGUACCAGAGGAGGAAGCCACGGCUAACUACGUGCCAGCAGCUGCGGUAAUACGUAGGUGGCAAGCGUUGUCCGGAUUUACUGGGCGUAAAGGAUGCGUAGGCGGAUACUUAAGGCAGAUGUGAAAAUCCCGGGCUUAACUUGGGAACUGCAUUUGAAACUGGGUAUCUAGAGUGCGGGAGAGGAAAGAGGAAUUCCUAGUGUAGCGGUGAAAUGCGUAGAUAUUAGGAAGAACACCAGUGGCGAAGGCGACUUUCUGGACCGAAACUGACGCUGAGGCAUG
RNAcentral lists this ribosomal RNA (383 nucleotides) under uncultured bacterium. RNAcentral describes it as "bacterial SSU rRNA". It matches the Rfam family "Bacterial small subunit ribosomal RNA", at positions 355 to 755 of the family's 1533-position model. The record is from RNAcentral.